Molecule: long non-coding RNA, 306 nt
Organism: Humulus lupulus (European hop)
Lineage: Eukaryota; Viridiplantae; Streptophyta; Magnoliopsida; Rosales; Cannabaceae
Exons: 2
Source: RefSeq, a predicted model, not a curated record
GAGUCCUUAGGAUGCUUGUUAGAGUUGUCAUGGAAUGAACAGAAGUCACUGUCAUUGAAAGGGGCAACCCGUAAAUUCCUAGAAGAUGGUGAUGAAGUUAUCAUCACUGGUUUUUGCAAGGGAGAUGAAUACAACAUUGGGUUCGGCACUUGCUCGGGGAAGAUCGUUCCUCCAUUGCCUUGAUGAUGUUAUCGCCAAGUGUUGGAUGCUUCAGUUUCUCUUGUCAAUAGAUUUAGGAAUCGCUUUCUACAUGACUGUGCCGAAUGAACUGUUGCCUAAUUGAUAUUUCAAACCGAAUUUGAUAAA